GGAUCCAGACUUUGAUUUGGCUCAGGAUGAACGCUAGCGGCAGGCCUAACACAUGCAAGUCGAGGGGCAGCACGGUGUAGCAAUACACUGGUGGCGACCGGCGCACGGGUGCGUAACGCGUAUGCAACCUACCCAUAACAGGGGGAUAACACUGAGAAAUUGGUACUAAUACCCCAUAACAUCAGGACCGGCAUCGGUUCUGGUUGAAAGCUCCGGUGGUUAUGGAUGGGCAUGCGUUGUAUUAGCUGGUUGGUGAGGUAACGGCUCACCAAGGCAACGAUACAUAGGGGGACUGAGAGGUUAACCCCCCACAUUGGUACUGAGACACGGACCAAACUCCUACGGGAGGCAGCAGUGAGGAAUAUUGGUCAAUGGACGCAAGUCUGAACCAGCCAUGCCGCGUGCAGGAAGACGGCUCUAUGAGUUGUAAACUGCUUUUGUACGAGGGUAAACGCUCUUACGUGUAAGAGCCUGAAAGUAUCGUACGAAUAAGGAUCGGCUAACUCCGUGCCAGCAGCCGCGGUAAUACGGAGGAUCCAAGCGUUAUCCGGAUUUAUUGGGUUUAAAGGGUGCGUAGGCGGUUUGAUAAGUUAGAGGUGAAAUACCGGUGCUUAACACCGGAACUGCCUCUAAUACUGUUGAACUAGAGAGUAGUUGCGGUAGGCGGAAUGUAUGGUGUAGCGGUGAAAUGCUUAGAGAUCAUACAGAACACCGAUUGCGAAGGCAGCUUACCAAACUAUAUCUGACGUUGAGGCACGAAAGCGUGGGGAGCAAACAGGAUUAGAUACCCUGGUAGUCCACGCAGUAAACGAUGAUAACUCGCUGUCGGCGAUACACAGUCGGCGGCUAAGCGAAAGCGAUAAGUUAUCCACCUGGGGAGUACGUUCGCAAGAAUGCAACUCAAAG
Molecule: ribosomal RNA, 906 nt
Filed under: uncultured Bacteroidota bacterium
Lineage: Bacteria; Pseudomonadati; Bacteroidota
Description: bacterial SSU rRNA
Rfam family: Bacterial small subunit ribosomal RNA
Source: RNAcentral